Molecule: transfer RNA, 77 nt
Filed under: Candidatus Omnitrophota bacterium
Lineage: Bacteria; Pseudomonadati; Candidatus Omnitrophota
Description: tRNA-Arg
Rfam family: tRNA
About the family: Transfer RNA (tRNA) molecules are approximately 80 nucleotides in length. Their secondary structure includes four short double-helical elements and three loops (D, anti-codon, and T loops).
Source: RNAcentral
GCCCCCGUAGCUCAGAUGGAUAGAGCACAGGUUUCCUAAACCUGGUGUCGCCUGUUCGACUCAGGCCGGGGGCGCCA